RNAcentral lists this ribosomal RNA (439 nucleotides) under uncultured bacterium. Its description in RNAcentral is "partial 16S ribosomal RNA". It matches the Rfam family "Bacterial small subunit ribosomal RNA", at positions 338 to 795 of the family's 1533-position model. The record is from RNAcentral.
CCUACGGGAGGCAGCAGUGAGGGAUAUUGGUCAAUGGGGGAAACCCUGAACCAGCAACGCCGCGUGCGGGAAGACGGUUUUCGGAUUGUAAACCUCCGUCCUCUGUGAAGAUAAUGACGGUAGCAGAGGAGGAUGCUCCGGCGAACUACGUUCCAGCAGCCGCGGUAUACGUAGGGAGCAAGCGUUGUCCGGAUUUACUGGGUGUAAAGGGUGCGUAGGCGGCUUUGCAAGUCAGAAGUGAAUUCCAUGGGCUUAACCCAUGAACUGAUUUUGAAACUGCAGAGCUUGAGUGGAGUAGAGGGAGGCGGAAUUCCGGGUGUCGCGGUGAAAUGCGUAGAGAACGAGAGGAACACCAGUGGCGAAGGCGGACUUCUGGGCUCUAACUGACGCUGAGGCACGAAAGCGUGGGUAGCAAACAGGAUUAGAUACCCCGGUAGUC